Molecule: ribosomal RNA, 497 nt
Filed under: uncultured bacterium
Lineage: Bacteria
Description: partial 16S ribosomal RNA
Rfam family: Bacterial small subunit ribosomal RNA
Source: RNAcentral
GAUGAACGCUGGCGGCGUGCCUAAUACAUGCAAGUCGAGCGAACGGACGAGAAGCUUGCUUCUCUGAUGUUAGCGGCGGACGGGUGAGUAACACGUGGAUAACCUACCUAUAAGACUGGGAUAACUUCGGGAAACCGGAGCUAAUACCGGAUAAUAUUUUGAACCGCAUGGUUCAAAAGUGAAAGACGGUCUUGCUGUCACUUAUAGAUGGAUCCGCGCUGCAUUAGCUAGUUGGUAAGGUAACGGCUUACCAAGGCAACGAUGCAUAGCCGACCUGAGAGGGUGAUCGGCCACACUGGAACUGAGACACGGUCCAGACUCCUACGGGAGGCAGCAGUAGGGAAUCUUCCGCAAUGGGCGAAAGCCUGACGGAGCAACGCCGCGUGAGUGAUGAAGGUCUUCGGAUCGUAAAACUCUGUUAUUAGGGAAGAACAUAUGUGUAAGUAACUGUGCACAUCUUUACGGUACCUAAUCAGAAAGCCACGGCUAACUACGUG